Lolium rigidum is the source of this 3363-nucleotide RNA transcript. RefSeq lists it as uncharacterized. The transcript has 3 exons. NCBI's taxonomy places the organism in Eukaryota, Viridiplantae, Streptophyta, Magnoliopsida, Poales, Poaceae. The record is from RefSeq and is a predicted model, not a curated record.
CAUGGGCAUAGUAGUAGGCACUGCAGCAAAUAGGAGCGGAUGCCCAGCAGCCGGUGGCGGCCAUGGAUGUAAUACAGGUAAGAGGUAAAACUACAAAGAUGGAUAAGUACUCAGUGGCUCAUCGUGUCCUGAUAAUCCUUGAUAUUUUUGCUUGGAAGCCGGACUGAUUAUAGCUCUAUUACUGUCAUGUUUGCUAUUUCAGCAAAAAAAAAAAAAAAUUGCCAAUAUUUCUUUGGUGCCGCUACAUGCCAACAUGAACCUUUCAUUUUAUUGGAUUUGCCCUCCUUAUUAACUUCAAAAUCUGUAACUUUCUUCGUAGAUGAAAACAGAUGCAAUAGUCCUCCCACUUAGCUGAAUAUAGCUAUCUACUAUCUGAAUUUAUUUACAUGGCGUGACUCCUAUUUUCAUGUCAUCUUUCCUGAUAUCGCUGGGAGUAAAUUCGGAAUCCUUUUGCAAUAUCUGUGCCGACCUCGCGGAACAGUCCGGCUGCCAGGCAACAUCUGAGGAUCCUUGCCGCCGCCUCCCGCGGCCCUCGCUCGCACGGCGUCACCGCUGCUCACUCGGAAUCCAGCUCCCCCUCCACCCACAGCCCUCAUGCUGCCAGGGUGGCGGUGGAGCCAAUACCUGCUGCCCUCCUCAUCGCAUCGAACCGGUACAGCGAGGUUUCUGUGAGAAAUAGUCCACCACCGCUCUCCCUCUCUUUCACGACAACGGCUAACGAUUUCGAUCUGGAUUUUGGGGUGCAUGUUCUUGCGUUUCUGGUAGGAUGGUGGCCUUGUAGAGGCGUGGAAGUAACCACAGGUGGAGAUUGAUGGUGUUACAGAUCUCAACAGCGCGUGGGGAUGUGUGUCCUCAGCCCGAGCUAGGCAUCCAUGUCGGCGACCUCACCGUCUCCAGCCCGUCCCCUGAUUAAUUGUAAGGAUAUGUUACUUCAGAGAGACGUUGUGUAAAUGUAGGUCUGGUACUUCUAUCUACAAUCUGCACCCUUAGUGUUCUUUGUCAAGAAAUCUUCAAGUCUUGAAUUUCUGUCAUCUUCUACAUAGCCCACUCCCAUCUAUUGUUGUUUAGGCGAUCCUCGAUAAUGGAUGUAGGGAAUUAGUGGACGCUGAAUUGAUGGAUACAUUGGAUGGUUGGUUUCUCGAUUGGUGUGCUUAGAUUGAUGGUCAACUGUGUCUAUGAAAUAAUUUUGAGAUGGACAGAGCAUGCAUACAUCGAGAGGUGUUGCAGUGUGUACCCAAGACAAUGACUUGCAAUGUAGUAGUGGUUCUCAUCCAAUCAUUCAUCUCUCAUGUAAUUAUAAAAUAUGGAGGCAUUUUUACCUUUGCUGUUUCAUACCUUACUUCAUUUACUUGGACUAUCAAUGCACAUGCUUUCCUUCUCAAUUUCAGCAUUUUUCCAUGAUACCAUACCUCAAAUUUGAUGGUGCCAACUGCCAAUUAACUUCAGAAAUAUCUGGUACAUGUCCAUAAGUUCUGGUAGGACUGUAGGAAUCAAAAAAUCACUCUGUUUAGAACACUUAUUAUAAGGAUUUCCAUGCUUUUGAAAACUUUAAAUAUAUAAUUAAUGUAAAAUCAAAGUUUACAAUAGGUAUUCUGUUUGCGGGGUCAAAAGCAUUGUUAUUCAUCGAGGGACACCUAUACCAUAUAUUGCACCAGUCAGGUUUUUAGUACCCACUGAUAAAUAUUCCGUCUGCCUUUUGAUAAUAUGGUUGUUGAUUUUCAUUGAUCUUAUGGUCAUACCAUUGUUGGUAAUACAUACAUCUUGCUGGUAGCUAGCUCGGACACAAGUAAUGCUAAUAUUCAAUCAAGAAAACGUUCUCUAUCACUGCUUAUCCUAAUCCUUUUGUUCCAACGGGUGUAAUUCUUUUGCGGACUCACAUCGAGCUUGUGGUGUCUGCUGGUUUUGUUCUAUUUUUCGAUGUUGUUGCUGGUCCUUCUCAUGCUAUAGGUGAGGUGGAAUUUUCUCUGCUUUGGUUGGCUGGUUAUUCAAUACUUCAUUUGUUAGUCCGCCGUUGCACAUGGUUGGCUUUCGCUGAUUAGUUCAUUAUAUUGUCGUGUUUCAGCUUUUGGUCAUGUGUGCUGGACAACAUUGCCAGCGGGUCACAAGGGCCGGGAAGGAAACGGCGUGGAAUGGGCGAUCCCGAGGGUGCAGAGGUGCUUUGAGCUCGGCCUCUCUGACCACCAGCUCCUAAAGUUCAGUUACGCGUAUGUAAUUAUGGUUCAGUUCCAUGCACCAAUCAUGGAGACCUCUACCAAGUCGUUCUCGCCAUUUGGUACGGAGGUCUUUCUCCUCGACAUGAAACUCGCAUCUGAAUCUGUCCCCAUGGAUUUGGGAGCCCCCGACCUAAUUUACCGUGUUCGCAUCCAGGUAACACACACCAGUGAUAUCACCGAUCCUCCUUGAUUUUACAGAGUUCAUAUAGGAUGCCUCUUUUGCUGGUAACAAAUGAAGUAUAAACUUUUUGUCUGUUGUUUUACUUGAGGGACAUGACAUAUUAGGUUUUAGUUUUCAUAUAUGACCAAUAUUGACCGAUUCCGUAAUACUGAUGCACCUUCUAAGAAUGCAAACAUGCUCUUUUCAUGUUAUGGUUUAUGCCGGAACGCAUAUUGCAUUAUUCUUAAGGCUGAUUAUAGAAGUUGCAGUAUUGUUAUGUAACAUACUUACCAAUGAAGAAUUGGUAAAUCGCUUGAUUAUCAAUCUUUAUCUUUUUUGGUAGAGAGUCUAUAAGUGUUUAGUCUUCUUUAUUCAAAAUUUUAUAACAUUUGCAUUUUUGUUUCUGAAAUUGACAUGGUCCGGAUAAUCUUUCGAGAGGAUAAAACAUGACAGAAGGAACAAUAUGUUCUGUAAGAUCUUGAGCUCAUGUAUACUAUGGUAGUGUUUAUAAUCUCUGGUAGUGUUUUCACACUAUACAUUCCAAUUUUGUAAAAAACACUAAUGAGUUUGUACCAUGGGCAGGAAUUCAAAGCAUGAUGUGGUUGCAGGUCGAAAGAAGGUUCAACAAACUAAACUGGAAGCUUGGAAUAUGGUCUUUAGUUAGAUUCAUCAAUCAGUUCCAAGCAAUUCAUCUUCUUUUUGGCGGGAUCAUCUCAUGUUUUUUGCAAUGACAGAAAAUUGUGGCUUGCCGGGGGACAUGAGACUUCUGUUCCAUCUUAAAAUCUAAGAUCUGGCCAAUAUUUUUUUGCAUAUCUUAGACAUGUUUUUGUAGCCAUACAUUCAAAGAAAACAAAACAUGCUAUAUUCUGAUGCAUAUGGUCAUUGUGUUGUUAACAAUGUAACUUUCAGAUGAAAGCUUUUUUCAUCAUAACUACUAUAUUAAAGAUGAACACACAUCUUUUUUACCAGAAUUUUGAGGCUUUUUAGGAA